GCAGGAGUGGGGCAAGGGUUUUUCCUUGUAAACAACAAUAUGAUGAGGAUCCAGUAGGCUCCAGCAGAUGCCUGCGAACCAGUGUUCUUGUAUUUGGUUGUCGUUAGCAGCUGCCUAACUCCAGAUCACAAACCAGAUCAGGAGAUAACAAUUGAGGAUGUAAGCAAAUUUUUGAAUGCCACGGAAGAGCCUAGCUGAACUCCAUCAUUGUCAAACAAUAUCAGUUCGACAUACGACCUAUGACACAGAGGUAACAGUGGUGACAAAUCAUGUGAAGUAAGGACUAUUGCAAGACUUUGCAGCUGGAACGUUAUGAGUGUGGAUACAGGCGAGUGCGCAGCAGCCAUGUUAGUGUACUUAACCACAAGGUUCCGGACGAUUCUUGAUCAUAAAGGGUCACAGACUGUUGAAGCGAGAAGUGUCGAAGCUGCAAUUCCAGCACAGUUUCAACUUCUUUUUGAUUUUACAAUACUUUAAAAUUCAAUAACGUUUUUGUCGUCGUAGCUUUGAAUCAUGUGAGACCAAGUCCGUGCACACUCAUGGUCUCCAAGAGCUUUCUAACAAUACCAAAUAUGGCUCUAGUCACAAGUGAUCUAAAACUUGUGAUUAACCAAAUAAACAACAAACAAAUAUACACCAAA
This is a non-coding RNA of Physcomitrium patens, 641 nucleotides long. The record is from RefSeq and is a predicted model, not a curated record. Lineage: Eukaryota; Viridiplantae; Streptophyta; Bryopsida; Funariales; Funariaceae.